UUCUCUGCCUCUGCCUCCGACUUCGGCUCAAGCACCUCCAUUUCUUCUGACGUUGGAGCCCUCAUUUUUAUGUUGAGCAAAACCCCCAGAACUUGCAACAUCCUCUGACCCGUCAAAUUCAGGCUCAUAUUAUUAGGAUUCCUCUUGCAAAUCUUGAACCAUCCUCAGAAAAUCUGGUAGAAUUUCUGCAGAUUCAGCUGGCUUUUUGUUGCCAAAGAACCAAGUUCAUUUUACAUUUUCUUCUGGUCAGUAGAGUUUUUCAAACUCAUUAAUGGCAGGUGCUUGUUAAGAUCUAGUCAUUCAAGCCCGCUUUCUGUUCACAUUCCUCUCUCUCUUUCUCUUUCUGUCUGAGAGGAUUCUCACGACGUCUAGGUGUUGAAGAUCUCCAGAGAUGCUGUGGAGUGGUGAGGAAAGUUCUUUGUUUUGAAAUUGUGUUUGGUUUGGGGCUGGAUUUGACGCAUUAAUGGCGGCGUCUGUAAAUCUUUUCCGACAUUUUGAUCCUCGUUACGAAAGUUAGUAUUAUUUUUUUUUUCUUUCGUUUUCUCCUCGCAAUUUUUGCUCAAAAGAAAAGAAACCUGCAGUUUCAUGACACUGUUUUGUGAAUCCAGCCCUUGUUUCUCUUAAUCCAAAGUUUUAUAAAAGAGACAAUCAGUUAAACUUCUUUUCUUUGUUCGUUUUAGGAUAGCGAUGGCAUUUUGGAGUUGGAUAUUGAGGCUUGCUUCUAAAAUGAAAGGGAUUUGCCUAAGGAGGAGACGCUUGUUCUGGGUUUCAUGAAGUCCCAAAAGGAUAGAAGCUCUGUUUCUCUGGUUUGCAAGGAUUGGUACACUAUGGAGAGAUGGAGCCGAAUUCACAUGUUCAUGGGUAACUGCUACUCUGUUACCAUAAAGGGAAAGCCUCAUCACGCCCAACUGGGGAGCGGAUUUCCGAUCAUGGCUUGAUGCAUUCACCUUUGCAUAUCCUCACCUUGAGGAGCUGCGUCUUAAGAGGAUGGCUGUCAGGGAUGAUGCCCCUUUCCCUCAGCAUAUGCAAAGAAAGGAAGGAAGUUUUUUUUCUUCAUUAAAGGGUAAUAUGAUCUUUUGAGGUUCAAAAAUACUAACACCAUCAUAACUAGGGAAGGGGGUGUAAAUUGUUUAAACUCUUUGAUCCAUAUGUAAUUUCUAUCAAAAAAGUGUUAACAUUCUCAAACAGAUGAUGGAUUAUAUCUCGAUUAAGAUCCCACAAAUUAAUAUCUGUUACAUUUUA
Molecule: long non-coding RNA, 1242 nt
Organism: Macadamia integrifolia
Lineage: Eukaryota; Viridiplantae; Streptophyta; Magnoliopsida; Proteales; Proteaceae
Exons: 2
Source: RefSeq, a predicted model, not a curated record